UACCGCACAACGGAGAUGGGCGUCGCGAGUAGUGACUAGAGUGUGCCGUGUGGGUUACCGCGCAGCUUGCGUGUUUGUUUAGUAACACAUGGAAAGGUCGGAGAGGGCCCGGCUCACACGUCGCUUCUACCUACAUAUUUUAUUGACCCCGCACGACACACAAGCACCAAUGACGUCGAGACAUAUCUUCAGAUAUUGCUGGAGCCUAAGGAAAACCAAACGCCGAGUACCCAAGAUGUUUCUUAUCACCAUACUCAGGCAAACUACAUUACAAUAAAUUCCCUUUAUUUUCAUUGCGAAUGUACCAAUCCGCCAUAUUUUCAUAAUUUUAUAGUAGGCUUGAUACCAUGCCAACUCACUGAUAUCUCGCUCCUAAAACACAACCGCUAUCGAAAGCGAUAAAAUUAUGUAGAGUAUCACUGCAAAAUAAAGAAGUACUGUGUUGUUAUUGCAACCCGAAUUCAAUUGAAGAGUCUAACUAGUGUAUUAUGAUGGUUAAGAUGAGUUUUACACUUCUUCAGAUGUAUUAAUGAGCAAUAUUCGAUAUGUAGUGUAUUAAAAAACUUUAUAUAUGCAAUAAUUUUGCGGAUUCUAAAGCGAUCUGAUUGCCGAGAAAUUUGCGAGUUAAAAUGGUAAGGUAACGCGUCUGCUUUCCAUUAAAACAUUAAAUACAUGAAUGUUUAACUCUGUGAAUUCAUUAUUCGAUUAUUUGACUGAAUAACUUAAAUGUUCUGCGAAAAAAAUAUUCAUUACAUGGAAAUUUCUCUUUUAAAAUAAGAAAUAUUUAU
RNAcentral lists this long non-coding RNA (788 nucleotides) under Manduca sexta (tobacco hornworm). RNAcentral's name for it is "uncharacterized LOC115452127, transcript variant X2". Lineage: Eukaryota; Metazoa; Arthropoda; Insecta; Lepidoptera; Sphingidae. The record is from RNAcentral.